GGGAAGAUAUAAAGUGGCGCACGGGUGAGUAACACGUAGGUAAUGUGCCUUUGGGUGGGGAAUAACUUAGGGAAACUUAAGCUAAUACCGCAUAAUGCAGCGGCUCCUUCGGGAGACAGUUGUUAAAGCGUUUACGCGCCUAAAGAGCAGCCUGCGGCAGAUUAGCUAGUUGGUAAGGUAAUGGCUUACCAAGGCGACGAUCUGUAUCCGACCUGAGAGGGUGGUCGGACACACUGACACUGAAUAACGGGUCAGACUCCUACGGGAGGCAGCAGUCGGGAAUUUUGGGCAAUGGGCGAAAGCCUGACCCAGCAACGCCGCGUGAAGGAUGAAGUCUUUCGGGAUGUAAACUUCGUAAGAAUAGGAAGAAUAAAUGACGGUACUAUUUGUAAGGUCCGGCUAACUACGUGCCAGCAGCCGCGGUAAUACGUAGGGACCAAGCGUUGUUCGGAUUUACUGGGCGUAAAGGGCGCGUAGGCGGCGUGUCAAGUCAAUUGUGAAAUCUCCGAGCUUAACUCGGAACGGUCAAUUGAUACUGAUGUGCUAGAGUGCAGAAGGGGCAAUCGGAAUUCUUGGUGUAGCGGUGAAAUGCGUAGAUAUCAAGAGGAACACCUGAGGUGAAGACGGGUUGCUGGGCUGACACUGACGCUGAGGCGCGAAAGCUAGGGUAGCAAACGGGAUUAGAUACCCCGGUAGUCCUAGCCCUAAACGAUGAAUACUUGGUGUCUGGAGUUUUAAUUCUCCGGGUGC
RNAcentral lists this ribosomal RNA (750 nucleotides) under uncultured Acidobacteriota bacterium. RNAcentral describes it as "bacterial SSU rRNA". It matches the Rfam family "Bacterial small subunit ribosomal RNA", at positions 82 to 846 of the family's 1533-position model. Lineage: Bacteria; Pseudomonadati; Acidobacteriota. The record is from RNAcentral.